This 250-nucleotide ribosomal RNA is filed under the name uncultured bacterium. RNAcentral describes it as "partial 16S ribosomal RNA". It matches the Rfam family "Bacterial small subunit ribosomal RNA", at positions 15 to 253 of the family's 1533-position model. The record is from RNAcentral.
GAUCCUGGCUCAGGAUGAACGCUAGCUACAGGCUUAACACAUGCAAGUCGAGGGGCGAUCAGUUUGGUUUGCUUGCAAACCAAAGCUGGCGACCGGCGCACGGGUGAGUAACACGUAUCCAACCUGCCUCAUACUCGGGGAUAGCCUUUCGAAAGAAAGAUUAAUAUCCGAUAGCAUAUAUUUCCCGCAUGGGUUUUAUAUUAAAGGUAUUCCGGUAGACGAUGGGGAUGCGUUCCAUUAGAUAGUAGGG